Molecule: ribosomal RNA, 496 nt
Filed under: uncultured bacterium
Lineage: Bacteria
Description: partial 16S ribosomal RNA
Rfam family: Bacterial small subunit ribosomal RNA
Source: RNAcentral
GAUGAACGCUGGCGGCGUGCCUAAUACAUGCAAGUCGAGCGAACAGACGAGGAGCUUGCUCCUCUGACGUUAGCGGCGGACGGGUGAGUAACACGUGGAUAACCUACCUAUAAGACUGGGAUAACUUCGGGAAACCGGAGCUAAUACCGGAUAAUAUAUUGAACCGCAUGGUUCAAUAGUGAAAGACGGUUUUGCUGUCACUUAUAGAUGGAUCCGCGCCGCAUUAGCUAGUUGGUAAGGUAACGGCUUACCAAGGCGACGAUGCGUAGCCGACCUGAGAGGGUGAUCGGCCACACUGGAACUGAGACACGGUCCAGACUCCUACGGGAGGCAGCAGUAGGGAAUCUUCCGCAAUGGGCGAAAGCCUGACGGAGCAACGCCGCGUGAGUGAUGAAGGUCUGCGGAUCGUAAAACUCUGUUAUUAGGGAAGAACAAAAGUGUAAGUAACUAUGCACGUCUUGACGGUACCUAAUCAGAAAGCCACGGCUAACUACGU